RNAcentral lists this long non-coding RNA (442 nucleotides) under Prunus dulcis (almond). RNAcentral describes it as "sRNA ncRNA". The record is from RNAcentral. Lineage: Eukaryota; Viridiplantae; Streptophyta; Magnoliopsida; Rosales; Rosaceae.
AACCAACGAGACCUUCCACAUUAAUGAGAAUGAUUUCUGCGCAAUAAAUAGCACAGAUGUUGGGAUUCACGAUGCUUACAACGAAGAAGGUGAAGGUGGUGUGGAUGUCCAUCAACCAAGGAGGGGUCGAAACCACAACAUUUGUGGCAAUACAUUUUAUGCAAACAAAGGCGAGCGUGUUGGGAUUAGCAAAGUUGGCAACAAGUACAACAAGAAGUCGAGCGUACCAUUUCUUCUUGGUCUUCUUGGUCUUCUUGUUCUUUUUGUUAUUGCUUCUUCUUUUUUCUUUUAUAUAUCAAUGGUGAGUAAGCAAAACAAAAAAUGAAGCAAGCGGCUUGAGUGAAAAAAAUGGCACGACUAAGAAGAAGAAAAAUAAAUAGUUGGCGAAAAACUAGAUUUUAUGGGGCAGGUCAAGACUCUACCACAUGUGAUGGGGCAGGAA